GAGCUACAGCGCAUGUGUCGAAGCUUCCGGUAUCAGAGGACCAUCACUAUCUGGUAGCGUCUCUGGCUGCUGUUGACCUUGUUUUUGGUGUAAAACACGGUGGAAGCUGAAUUAGUGAGGAUGACUCCUGCUCCUGUCAUCUCUAAGCUCCUCACACAUCUUUACCUGCACAUGAGGAAAAUCACUCCUGUAGAAUGCAGAUGUUCAGAGGGAGAUGAUGCCACAUCUGGUCCAGCUGAUGGAAGGUCUUGAAGUUCUCUGACUGGCCUCGACUGAAGAUAGUCGUCUCACUGGAUUUAAGGUUCAGAUGCUCAGUAACAAACUCCACCAAUGAGCCAACAGGGAAGCUUUAGGUUUAUUAAAUGUUGCUAUGAAAGUUUCGCUGUUUUUCUUUGUGAAUGCAAUGUGCUCCAACUGAAACUUGAAUUAGAACUUAGAAGUAAAUCCUUCCAUCUGAAAGGAUUUAGUUGCAUUAAUAACCUCAUAACAUUCUAAUUUUUAUUCCAGUCUUAGUUGGAAAUAGAAUCUCUGUAUUGAUUCAGGUAAAAACUGAACUUCACAGCAUGUUGAAGCAAAACAACCAGAUGAAAACUGUGAUGGUGUUGGAUUGUCAGACCGUAUUGUUGCAGCUCAAAGCAGCUUUUCUAUCUCAGUUCAUUCUGACAUUCAGCUAUGAAUCAACACAGCAGAUGGUGAUCCAUGCUGUGGAAGUCUCACAUCUCCUGAUUUAAUGGAGCUGCUUUGCACUUUUUACACUGUUUAUUCACCAACACUUUAUUUAAUAAAAGUCCCAUCUAGUUUUUAUGAGGAAUGUGAUGUUUUAAUUUCUCUGUGAAUAACUGCAGUCUAAUGCAACAGCUGGAGUUGUAACAUCUGUCCUGAUAUUGAUCAUGAAGUAUUGAUCAGAAUACUUAUGGUUAGCAGUCAUCCCUGAAGUUUUACAUUAAAAUCUUUACUUGUGUUGUGAACUUUGGUAAGAAGCAGAAACGUUAGCGUUGCCAUGGAUACAUGAGUGUUAAAUUCUGUCCAUGUUUCCAUUUUGGGAAAUUCAGUCCAGUUCCAGAAUGUGGAGGAAUUUAGUCUCACAAUCACAGACAAUAAAUAUUAUCUGAAAGUCGGGUUAUUGUUGUUUAUCAGCACAAUAUAAAAAGAUUAAUGGUAGAAAUAUUCCAGUUAAGACUCUAGAAUAUCAUGAUUUAUGUAAAUUUACUUCAAUAAUAUGAAUGUUCAGGUUAAGAUUGUACAGUGAUAUUUAUUAUGUAAGUUUAGCUGAUUAAAGUUUAUGACUCUGCACUAAAACAUUAUUUAAAUUGACAUCAUUAUUAUAAUAUUUAGGGUCAGACCCUACAGUAUUGAGAUUAAGAAAUCAAAUAUUGUAUAAAAUGUAAAUACACUGAACUCAUUUGGAUAUAUUUAAGUGAGACUCUACAAUAGUAUUUGACACAAAUCUAUCUAAAUCAAAAUUUUAAUAAUUUUCACGCCAAACAUUUACUGGACUGAUUUAAACAUUAAAAUCACCCCUUUCUAAUCCUCUGCUGUACGUUCAAACCUGAGGCCUUAAAUAGAAACACACAAGUAUCUGAUUGAAGGAACUUCUGCAGAGUCCUGGUUCCAGAACAUGAUGAUAGAAUUAUAGACAAACUUUAACAAAAGCUGCCUGAGAGUUUACAGGUUUUUAUGUUGGAUUUCUUCAGUAAUUUAAUGAGAGUUAUCAGCAAUAAUCAAGUGUUCAUUUGAUGAACUUCAUUUCCUAAAACAUCCAGAAUUGGAGCUCAUAUCUUUGGCAGCUGUAAAGUUUCUGCUCCUUCAAAGUUCACAACACAAUGAAUGAAUUCCUAAAACACUCUCAAUGCUGGAGAGCGUUUGUGAUGCUGAAGCAGUGACCAGUUUUUCUGUUUCUUCUCUGGAGAUGCACAAUGAGGGACGUCUGCAGAGACUGAGAAAGAGUCUCACCACAUCCUGACAUGAGGAAAAAGACUUUAUUGAAGACUACAAUGAGAAAAACUAUCAGACAGCAGACAGCUGCAUUCAAGUCUGUAGCUGCUGAAUUCAUGGAUGAAUCAUCUGGCACUAGAGAAGAAGACCAUCAAACAUCCAUGUCAGCUGAUGGAGGUCCAAGAGUCUCACCAAACAAACAACCUACAGAGUGAAGACCUCAAAUCUGAUUGGACGGCCUCCUAUUCAGCCACGUGUGAACAAAUGCCUCUAAAUAAGACAAGUACAAGAUUCUUCAGAGCCGUUCUACUACGAGCCUGACAGGAAGAACUCCAACAGCUACUGAAUGUUCCUGUGGUUCCCUCAAGGCUACAGGAGGAGCCCUACGAGUACGAGCCGGUCCACCUGAUGGCGGCCAGUCGCUGUGGUUCAAAGCCAACACCGACUACGUGGACUUCUACUGGACCACACGGAGGCCUUCAAACCGGACCAACAAGUUCACCGACUCCCCGACUCGUGGGUCUGAGGACGCCGCCGAGCCUCGGUCCAGCCGGCCUCCUGUCUGUGGGUGUUUGAGUGCUGAGAGGUUUGUGGAUGCAUGUGAACGUGUCUGUGUUGAAACAGCAGCUUUUGACUCAGUAACGCUGGGAAAAACCAAGAGCUCCUUUAUUUGUGACUUCCACUAAAAAACUGAUGAAAAUAAGUUUGCCAGGGUUCUGACUGAUAACAGAUUAUUAAAUAAUGAAAAUAACUGUUUAAAUAUUCCUUUAAACAAUCCUUUUAGGUCUACAUUUCCUUUACACUGACUUCUUGGUAUUUUGGGUGGAAUAUAUCAUCAGACUAACCUCCAAGGUCUACAGUCGUGAAUUUUAUGUCGAAUGUACCAUUAAACUCACCUUUUAGGUCUACAUUGGAGGAUUUUAGGUGGAAUUCUCUUCCAAACUGUCUUUUAGUCUACAUUUAAGGAUGUUUAGGAUGGUAUAUUCUUCCGAACCAACUUCUCAGGUCUACAUUUCAGGUGGAAUAUUCCUCCAUACUAACUUUUUUGGUCUACACUGAAGGAUUUUUUCUAAACAACCCUUUCGGGUCUAUAUUUGAGGUUUUAGGUGGAAUAUUCCUUUUAACCAGCCCCUCAGGUCUCUUUGAGGAUUUUGGAUGGAAUACUCGGUUAAAGCAACAUUUUAGGUGCAUGUCCAAGGGUUUUUGGUAGAAUGUUCCUUUAAGGUGGAUGUUUGAGGACCUUGUAGGUGGAAUACUUCCUGAAACCAACCUUUUAGGUCAACAUUCAAAGAUUUAAGGUGGAAUAUUCCUUUAAACCAACCUAAAUUUCAUGUUUUGAUCGUUAUCAAGUGAGAAACCUCAAUCCAGACUCCUCAUAAUGACAUUUGAGAUUUAUGCUGCUGUUAUUUGUUUAGUCCAGACUAAAUGACAGAAAUCCACAACUGUAAUUUUAUUUCAGGACUCAGUUAUUAAAUUCAAUUCAAUUCAAUUUUAUUUAUAUAGCGCCAAUUACAGUCAAAUUGUCUCGAGACGCUUUACAGAACCAAUAUGCCUGACCUCCAGAGCAAGCCAAAAGGUGACAGUGGCAAGGAAAACACCCUUUUAACAGGGAAAAAAACCUCGAGCAGAACCCGGCUCUAAUGUGGGGGGACCCAUCUGCCUGCUGACCGGGCGGGUUGAGAGGGACAGAAGAGGUAGAGGGGAAGACAAAACAAUCCAUGUGACUCUAAAAACUAAACAGCUGUACAAACUCUAAGAUUAAACUCUCCACAAGGAGCCAAAAUAAGUUGGACUUCUACAUGAGAGCUUUAAUUAUUCUUCAUCUACUUCCUGAAAAAUUUGGUCAAUAAAAAAGGCAAAAACUAAUAUUUUCAGCUGAACGAAAGACAGACUGUGAUUUUUCUGCUCACAUGUGUUGUUGUAAACUUGCUCUUUCAAAUAAAUAGCCGCCUAACCCCC
This is a long non-coding RNA of Amphiprion ocellaris (clown anemonefish), 3894 nucleotides long. The record is from Ensembl. Lineage: Eukaryota; Metazoa; Chordata; Actinopteri; Pomacentridae.